This is a long non-coding RNA of Cyprinus carpio (common carp), 1648 nucleotides long. The record is from Ensembl. NCBI's taxonomy places the organism in Eukaryota, Metazoa, Chordata, Actinopteri, Cypriniformes, Cyprinidae.
UAUUUUAUCACUCGGCAAUGUGUUUUAUCACUGUAUAAAUGUGUUUGUGAUGUGUGUCUGUAUCUGUCUCAUAACAGCUCUUAUAUUCUUAUCAGGUUCAAAUGGUUGAAUCUCCUGCUUCUACUUCAGCUGUGCUGUGUCAGGAAAAGUGAAAGUCCUCUUGACGAAACCCCCAUAGAGGGAGAAAAGGGAGGCAACGUCACCCUGCCAUGUAAAUAUAAGGCCAGUGAGAUUUCUGAUAUUCGUUUCAUCAGAUGGGGAAAAUCCAAACACUUUGCUAAAAUCCCUUUUUGUCAGAAUGAAGAAAAAGAGAGUGAGAGUGAGAGUGACAAAGUAUGUAAAAAAGGAGCAUGUGAAGUCGUUCUGAAACAUCUGAACUCCAAUGAUUCUGGGACAUACAUGUUGAGAUUCAUGCACAAAGAUACUCAGACAGAGCUGAAGUACAAACUUGACAUUCAUGGUAAAGUCAAAACUCAUCAAUCCAUCAAGGUUUAUUCAUCACAAGCUCUGUUUAUUCUCAUUCACUUUGUUGCUAAACUGUAUGGCUAAAGUUUUAAUUUCUUAUACAGAAAUUAAAACAGGAUCUCGCUCAGAUGAUGAACUCAAGAGUGACACUGAACAUCAUAGUAAGUAAAACAAAAGGCAUUGAGAGUUUUAAAGUUUAUUGAAACUAUAAUAUUUGUCUCCCCUUCUGCUGUAGAGCACUGGAUUGGACCGGCCGGGCUGCCUGUGUUUGUUUGGAUGGUUCUAGCUCUGAUUCUCUGUUAAAUUAACAAAGAUACACCAAUGUCUGGAUGGAGUUUCCAUUAUAAUUUGCAAAUCUGCAAAAUAUUCUCUCAACAUAUUGUAUGUCUGCACUAUAUUUUGAUUUACAAUGUAUAUGAACAUUUGGACUGCACUAAAUCCUAUGUCGAGAUACUGUUUGUUGACUGUUCAUUUAAUACAAAUAAUCCUUGGCAAUAUUGGCCUAUCAAAUUGCCGUCCAGUCCUGCUCCUUAAGAGCCGUUGUCUAGUUUCUACGGUUCUACACCAUGUACAAAAUCAUGUACUGUCUGAGUAGGUUCUAAAUUUGAUGAAGAACUAACUUUUAUAACUGCUAAAAGGUAUGUUCUUUAUGUAUUUGUUAUUUUAUGUUGUUUUCUACGUGUGUGUAUUUUAGUAUUAUUAUCUUUUUUUCUUUCUUUUUUUAUCUUUUCUGGGCAAUUGUUCUGCUCUCGACUGUGAUGAUAUGAUUGAUAUGACUUUGACGCCUCUGAUGACUUUAAUCUGUGUUUUUUGUUGUUGUUCUUCUUCUUUAAAAUAAUUGCAAAAGAAAGCACUUACUGUUUCUACAACAAAGCUAAUGUUAUCCUUCACUGUCAGCAAAAAGGCAGUUAAACCACAGAAGGAUUUCUAAAAAAAAUUGUUCUAUACAGUAUAUGGUGUGAAUGUAUCUGCAUGUACAGUACUACACCUGCCAUGUUAUUACUGUUUGAUAAUCUGUUUCAUAUCUCACAUUUUUAUUUUGUAGUAGAAGUUCUGAAUGGCCAGUAUUUUUAACAUAACUUUACUCAGGGUGUAAGAGGAAAAUAUAACUCAGCCAAGUUUGUAUAAAAUCCAUGUUAGACAACUUAAUAAAUAACUUUGACUGUUUUAAAGGCUUUGAGAA